GACGUAGGUGGCAAGCGUUGUUCGGAAUCACUGGGCAUAAAGCGCGCGUAGGCGGCUAUGUCAGUCGGGUGUGAAAGCCCUCGGCUCAACCGAGGAACUGCGCCCGAUACUGCUUGGCUUGAGGAUCGGAGGGGAGAGUGGAAUUCCCGGUGGAGCGGUGAAAUGCGUAGAGAUCGGGAAGAACGCCGGCGGCGAAAGCGACUCUCUGGUCGACCCCUGACGCUGAGGCGCGAAAGCUAGGGGAGCAAACGGG
RNAcentral lists this ribosomal RNA (253 nucleotides) under uncultured bacterium. Its description in RNAcentral is "partial 16S ribosomal RNA". It matches the Rfam family "Bacterial small subunit ribosomal RNA", at positions 524 to 776 of the family's 1533-position model. The record is from RNAcentral.